AACGAACGCUGGCGGCAUGCCUAACACAUGCAAGUCGAACGAGACCUUCGGGUCUAGUGGCGCACGGGUGCGUAACGCGUGGGAACCUGCCCUUAGGUUCGGAAUAACUCCCCGAAAGGGGUGCUAAUACCGGAUAAUGUCUUCGGACCAAAGAUUUAUCGCCUUUGGAUGGGCCCGCGUUGGAUUAGCUAGUUGGUAGGGUAAAAGCCUACCAAGGCGACGAUCCAUAGCUGGUCUGAGAGGAUGAUCAGCCACACUGGGACUAAGACACGGCCCAGACUCCUACGGGAGGCAGCAGUGGGGAAUAUUGGAAAAUGGGCGAAAGCCUGAUCCAGCAAUGCCGCGUGAGUGAUGAAGGCCUUAGGGUUGUAAAGCUCUUUUACCCGGGAUGAUAAUGACAGUACCGGGAGAAUAAGCUCCGGCUAACUCCGUG
Molecule: ribosomal RNA, 433 nt
Filed under: uncultured bacterium
Lineage: Bacteria
Description: partial 16S ribosomal RNA
Rfam family: Bacterial small subunit ribosomal RNA
Source: RNAcentral